AAUGAACGCUGGCGGCAGGCCUAACACAUGCAAGUCGAACGGAUCCUUCGGGAUUAGUGGCGGACGGGUGAGUAACGCGUGGGAACAUACCCAAAGGUACGGAAUAGCCUCGGGAAACUGGGAGUAAUACCGUAUUUGCUCGACAGAGGAAAGAUUUAUCGCCUUUGGAUUGGCCCGCGUUGGAUUAGGUAGUUGGUGGGGUAAGGGCCUACCAAGCCGACGAUCCAUAGCUGGUUUGAGAGGAUGAUCAGCCACCCUGGGACUGAGACACGGCCCAGACUCCUACGGGAGGCAGCAGUGGGGAAUCUUAGACAAUGGGGGAAACCCUGAUCUAGCCAUGCCGCGUGAUCGAUGAAGGCCUUAGGGUUGUAAAGAUCUUUCAGGUGGGAAGAUAAUGACUGUACCACCAGAAGAAGCCCCGGCUAACUCCGUGCCAGCAGCCGCAGUAA
RNAcentral lists this ribosomal RNA (449 nucleotides) under uncultured bacterium. RNAcentral's name for it is "partial 16S ribosomal RNA". It matches the Rfam family "Bacterial small subunit ribosomal RNA", at positions 29 to 523 of the family's 1533-position model. The record is from RNAcentral.